GGGGGGGCGGCCCGGCCGCGCGCCGCAUGGAGGCGGCCGCCGCCGCCCCGGCGGAGGCCCCGGUACCGGCAGAGACCGUCCGCCGCUGGCUGCGGGCGGAGGGGGCCGACCCCGCCGCCUCGGCCGAGGAGCAGCUGGGCCUGGCCUGGCGGCUGCUGCGACGCGCCGAGGCCCGGCUGGGCGACCUGGAGCGGCGGAGGGCGGAGGAGAUGAGAGACGUGGAAAGCUACGUGGGCCACGUCCGCACCCUGACGGAGGAACGGGACGCUCUCACCACUGAAUAUGAAAUGGAAAACGAGCAGCUCAGGCUUGAGCUGCAGCAGCUGCAGCAGGAAGCCCAGCUGAAGGAGGUGGAGGAGAUGCUGGAACAGGAAGGCUUGUCUGAAAUAGCUCACAGUAAUGCCAGUGAACAGAUCGCUUACUUACUGGUAGAAAGAACGACGCUGCUGGAGAAACUGGAGAUGGCAGAGCAGAAGCUGAGUUCACCCAGCUGCAUCGACGAGCUGUGUGCGGCACCGCUUCAGGAUGAGUUUGAUCACAUUCACCCGAUGUUAGAAGAUGAACUCCAACAGCAGCGUGAAUCCACGCAGCUUCCUGGAGAGACAAUGAGUAAGCUCUACAGGGAAGAGCUGGAGAAGGAGCAAGCAUCGCGUGCAAGAGUUGAACAAGAUCUGGUUGAGGCCACACAGAGGCUGCUGAUGGCCCAGGAAGAGAUCCGGAGGUUGGCAGAGGAGCUGGAGCAGAGCAAAAUAGGCAAGUGCUUCUCUUGUGGCCACUCCUAAUGACUGGCCUGCACUUAGCCCACCCCUCGUUGGUGUCUGCCUUGGACUUCUCACCCAGGGGAGCUGGAGAUGGGCUCCUCUCUGCGUGUAAUGUGAAAAAAUCAGUGUCAGAUGUUAGCCUGGUGCCUUGGAGAUCUGAAUGCAGUCAUCAACAGCCACAAAUCAAUUAAUUCUGAGUGAGGAAGGCUGAGAUGUGGGGUUACCGGAUCCAUGAUUACAACAGUGGUGUCUUGACUGACAUCUUCUCCCUGGCUCAUAUCAGGGAGGAAUUUGUGCCCUGGGAGGGGAUGGAGAGGAAAUGAUGACUUGGUCCAGAAACAGUAGCUAAAAUACUGUGUGCGCAGCGUGAGCCCAGCUGGAGCACUCACCUCGAGGUUCUGCAGGUGUUCUGUUCGGGAUGCUCCCUCGUUAUGAGGGAUAUCCUCAUUAUGCUCCUAACCGGAGCUUAUCAGUAGUCCUGAAGUGACUGGUUGGAUUCUUAUCACUGCCAGUAUUUGCUUAACCUCCUUAUUGAAAUAACUGUUGUUGACAAGCUCUCAAGUAUUAUUUUUAAAAAAAAUACUGACUGUAAAAAUAAACAGUUUUCUGGAGGGAAAUCA
Molecule: long non-coding RNA, 1381 nt
Filed under: Calidris pygmaea (Spoon-billed sandpiper)
Lineage: Eukaryota; Metazoa; Chordata; Aves; Charadriiformes; Scolopacidae
Description: lncRNA (ENSCPGG00000007789.1)
Source: RNAcentral